AUAAAUCAGCCUGCACCCGGAGCUGGAGUUAAUCCUGUUUCAGCUUCUGUGGGUACACUUGGCGCACACAGCCAUCCUAGUGCUGCAAUGUUGGCAGCUGCAGCUGCCGCUGCUGGAAGAGGUGGUCCUGGCAUUGUUCCGAGUUCACUGCUGCCAAUAGAUGUCUCUGUUGUACUUCGUGGUCCGUACUGGAUUCGCAUUAUUUAUCGG
This 210-nucleotide unclassified non-coding RNA is filed under the name Hevea brasiliensis (rubber tree). The record is from RNAcentral. Lineage: Eukaryota; Viridiplantae; Streptophyta; Magnoliopsida; Malpighiales; Euphorbiaceae.